Long non-coding RNA from Micropterus salmoides (largemouth bass), 783 nucleotides. RefSeq lists it as uncharacterized. The transcript has 7 exons. The record is from RefSeq and is a predicted model, not a curated record. Lineage: Eukaryota; Metazoa; Chordata; Actinopteri; Centrarchiformes; Centrarchidae.
GCGCAGCUGUGCAGCGCAGUAAAGGGAGGUCGGAUCCGGAAAUCCGUCCACUUUCCUUGGAGACUCAGCCAUGAGCAGAGAGGUCCCUCGCUUCGUUCCACAGCUGAAAACUAAGAAGCCCGCUUCGUGGUUAAUCUUCGAUGCGAAGAUGACUAUGGCAAAUUUGAUGUACUAUUGUUACACCUGAAGGAUGUCUGGUCACCGCAUCCAUGCAGAUGGCCAAAUAAUGGUUUUCACCGUGUGGACCUGAAGGCUGCUUCCCGAGGGUGUGUGGUGGUCACAGAGAUGCACCAGAUGUAAUCUUUUGUCUCUUGUGCUGAACAGGAGGUGAGCAGUUGGAUCAGAAAUGGAACAAAAACACACUUAGCGUUUGCUUCAUCUCUUCUGUGGUUAUGGAUCCAGUUGAGUGAGACUGUCCGGGGGGAAGCCUCAUUUGAAAAUGUGCAGCUGUGGCUCGGGAGUCAGACCGGGUUGCCCACUAAUCAGAGGAUCGACGGUUCAGUCGUCGGCUCCUCCAGGCUCCAUGUCAAACUGUCCUUAUGCACAACGCUGAACCCCGGCUUGCCCCCGAUGGCUGUUCCAUCAGUGUGUGAAUGUUAAUUUGUCUGCGCACAUAGGCUCAGCAGCGCUUUGAGUGGUCGGAAGACUAGAAAGGUGCUAUACAAAUACAGAGCAUUUAGUGUUGUGGGAGCUGAUCAUCAUUUAGAGCAAGUCUUGUUCACCAGAUUUCUUUUUACAUUUGAUGGCCUCCAUUAAUAAAAACCUGUCUGCAAGAAAAUACCA